RNAcentral lists this long non-coding RNA (569 nucleotides) under Equus caballus (horse). RNAcentral's name for it is "lncRNA (ENSECAG00000052456.1)". Lineage: Eukaryota; Metazoa; Chordata; Mammalia; Perissodactyla; Equidae. The record is from RNAcentral.
CAUUUUAACUUUUUUACAUAUUCUUUCCUUUGUCCUGUGAAGAGAGGACUCACAUGCCUAUGCCUUAGAUUUAGCUCUACUGUCAACCCAUGUUUGCAGCAGCAGCUCCUCCUGCCCAUGGGUCCCAUCCCCAUGCUAUUCUCUAGAUGGGAGAGCACUGCUGCCAAACCUUGAGAGAGUCCAAACUCUUUCUUUUGACUCCUCAGCUCACCGACCCCGCAUCAGCUACGUUGCUUCCAACAUCACAAGGGGAGAAGACCACGACUGCAUUCUAUUGUUUAAUUUGGUUUACAAAUGGGUCUUACUUAAAUGAUAAACAAGGAUGGUUAAUCCAGUAAAAAGAUUUCCUUCUGCAGACUUAAGAAAUCACCACGGAAGAAGAAAAAUAAUAUAUCUGAUUCUUUCACAGAGCUCCAGAACUUAGGGAUCAUGGACUACAACGUGAAGAAUUUAUUUAUUGAAAGAGACAUCAAAUAAGACUCUAUACAGCCCAGUUGGAAAGGACCAAACCAGGAGGAGAAGAAGACGACAUCUGUUGUAGACAGCUGUCCCAAGAGUCCGGACCAGGC